AAUGGUUUUGAUUAAUUUAUUUUUGUUUAUUAAUAUUUUUUAUAAAAGUAAUUUAUUUAUAUGAAGUUUUAGUAUUUAGUUAAAAAUAAUUAUUAGUUUUAUAGUUUAAUAGUAUUGUGAAAGAAAUUUUUUGUAUUAAUAAAAGAAUUUUAUUAGUACCUUUUGUAUCAGGGUUAAUUAAAAUUUUUAAUAUAUUUUAAUUUCUCAAAAUUUAUAGAGUUAAUUUUAUUAUUAAGUUAUUGUAUUAGAAAUAUUUAGAAAAUAAUUUUAGUUUUGAAAUUUAAUUCGUUAUAUUAUAUUUAGUUAUUUAAGAUUUAAAUUUAAUUUAAAAUUUUAAAAGUUAAAUUAGUUUUUUUUAUUUAUAUUUUAAAUUUAUAUUAUUUUAGGGAUAAGCUUAGAAUUUUUAUAUAACAAUUAUUUAAUUUAAUAGUUUAUAGGAAUAGAAAUUUUUAUUUAAAGUUUGUAAAAAUUUAUUAUUAAUUUAAAUAUAAUUUAUUAUAAUUUGUUUAUUAAAAAUAUUAAAUUUUAUAAUUUAAUUUUUUAUUUAUAGUAAUAAUGAUUAAAUUAGUAUAAUAUAAAUUUAUAUAUUAUGAAUUCGGCAAAAUUUAUUUUUAUCUGUUUAACAAAAACAUUGUAUUAAGAAUUAUUUAAUAUAGGAUCUGCUCAAUGAUUUAUUAAAUAGCUGCAGUAUUUUGACUGUGCAAAGGUAGCAUAAUAAUUAGUCUUUUAAUUGAGGACUUGAAUGAAAGAUUUGAUAAGAAAUAGACUUUAUUAUUUAUAUAAUUAGAACUUUAUUUUUAAGUAAAAAGGCUUAAAUAUUUUAAAGGGACGAUAAGACCCUAUAAAACUUUAUAAUUAAUAUUUUUUAUUUUUUUUGAUUUAUUUAUAUAUAUAUAUAUAUUUAAAUAAUAUUAAUUAUUUGAUUGGGGUGAUAAAAAAAAUAAACUUUUUUUAAAAUUUAACAUUAUUUAAUGAUAAUUUGAAUUAAAAUUUUUAAUUAGAGGAAAAAGUUACUUUAGGGAUAACAGCGUAAUUAAUUUUUUAAGUUCGAAUUUGAAAAUUAGUUUGCGACCUCGAUGUUGAAUUAAGAUUAUUCUUAGGUGCAAAAUUUUAAGUAUUAGGUCUGUUCGACCUUUAAAUUCUUACAUGAUUUGAGUUCAGACCGGUGUAAGCCAGGUUGGUUUCUAUCUUUUAAAUAUUGACUUAUUUUAGUACGAAAGGAUUUAGUAAGUAAAUUAAAUUUAAUUUAAUGAAUAAAACUAAUUUG
RNAcentral lists this ribosomal RNA (1267 nucleotides) under Schizoneuraphis gallarum. RNAcentral's name for it is "16S ribosomal RNA". Lineage: Eukaryota; Metazoa; Arthropoda; Insecta; Hemiptera; Hormaphididae. The record is from RNAcentral.